Molecule: ribosomal RNA, 440 nt
Filed under: uncultured bacterium
Lineage: Bacteria
Description: partial 16S ribosomal RNA
Rfam family: Bacterial small subunit ribosomal RNA
Source: RNAcentral
CCUACGGGUGGCAGCAGUGGGGAAUAUUGCACAAUGGGGGAAACCCUGAUGCAGCGACGCCGCGUGAGUGAUGAAGUAUUUCGGUUUGUAAAGCUCUUUUGUCAGGGAAGAAAAUGACGGUACCUGAGUAAUAAGCACCGGCUAACUACGUGCCAGCAGCCGCGGUAAUACGUAGGGGGCAAGCGUUAUCCGGAUUCACUGGGUGUAAAGGGCGCGUAGGUGGCAUUGCAAGUCAGGUGUGAAAGGCGGGGGCUUAACCACCGAACUGCACUUGAAACUGUAAGUCUGGAGUGCAGGCGAGGUAAGUGGAAUUCCUAGUGUAGCGGUGAAAUGCGUAGAUAUCAGGAGGAACACCAAUGGUGAAGGCGACUUACUGGAAUGUAACUGACGUUGAGGCUCGAAAGCGUGGGGAGCAAACAGGAUUAGAUACCCUUGUAGUC